This 4606-nucleotide long non-coding RNA is filed under the name Olea europaea subsp. europaea. Lineage: Eukaryota; Viridiplantae; Streptophyta; Magnoliopsida; Lamiales; Oleaceae. The record is from RNAcentral.
CAAGACUAAUUUCCCCAGUAAUGUCUGCCCAUUCAAGAUCCAUCUUCUUCCUCAUUUUACACUAUCUCCAAUUUCUCACUUCAUCCUCUCCUUGUAAUGCAAUCGAGAAUUCAAACCCCGAUAAUCUUCCGUAUCCAUGCACUCCACCUUACUUUAAUUCCUACUCUUUUUGCAAUACCUCAAAUCCCACAAAAGCCAGAGCAGAAUCCUUAAUUUCCCUCUUAACAAUCGAUGAAAAAAUCCAACUACUCUGCGAUAAUUUUUCCGGCAUUCCAAGGCUGGGAAUUCCUCCCUAUGAGUGGUGGUCCGAGUCCCUCCACGGCCUCGCCACCAAUGGACCUGGGAUCACUUUCAACGGCUCUAUUAAAUCCGCCACAAUCUUCCCCCAAGUCAUCCUCACGGCCGCCACAUUCAACAGAACCCUAUGGGCGGAGAUUGCUUCGGCCAUAGCAGUCGAGGCCCGGGCCAUGUACAACACGGGACAAGCUGGAUUGACAUUUUGGGCGCCUAAUAUUAACAUUUUUAGGGAUCCCAGAUGGGGGAGGGGUCAAGAAACUACUGGGGAAGACCCUAUGGUGGCUGCUGCUUAUGCUGUAGAGUAUGUGAGGGCUUUUCAGGGUCAAAACAAGAGAUUUUGGAGGAGACGUAAACAUGGGUUUUCGCAAAGUAGAGCGUUGACAAAUGAUUAUGGGAGUGAUAAAUUAAUGUUGUCUGCUUGUUGCAAACAUUUCACCGCUUAUGAUUUGGAGAAAUGGGGGCAAUUCACCAGAUACAAUUUCAAUGCUGUGGUAAAGUUUCUUUGAUCUGAGUUCCUUAUUUUCUCGAUUCAUUUUGGCUUUUGUUUCUUUAUAUAUUCCAAGUAGAUCUAGUAAUGAGCCGAACUGAAUGACGGCAAAAUAUUAUGUAGCCGGCUUCAAAUUUAUUAGGAAUAGGGUUCCGUUGGUUGUUGUUUUUGUUGCUAUAGGGUAUUUUCUUCGAAUUUUGGAACAUAAGUAUUAGUAUUUGAUUCACCUGAUUAGGUUCUUGAAUAUUUGAUGUGAAAAAGCACUAUUUGAGAGAGUUGCAAGCAAACUAGUUCAUUUUAUAAAUUGCAUUCUUAGAUAUAUUCAACAAAACUAAAGACUAUGCACUACUAUAUUCAGCAACUAUCAAUUCAUUUGAAGUGUGAUUUUAUUCUGCUUUAAUCACCGGUGUUUGUUGAAUGGCCUCGUCUAAAAGUUUAAGUCGUUAGACAGGAGAAUUUGUCUUCAACUAGCCUCUUCACGUUCAAGCUAGUUUUGUUUUUUGCGAAGGGCUCAUAAAUGGGUGGGAGCUGAAUUUGUACGCAAGAUAUUCUGUUUGCUAUGAUACCACUUCAUUUAAAAGCUUAAACUACAAAAGAGUGACAAAUUUAUUUAUUUUUUUAUCUUCAACCGUUGUGUUUGUAAACUUGGACUGUUACAUGCAAAAUGGAAGGAAGUUGAUCAUAAGAUAAUUAAAAGUUACUAAUUGAACCAAGCAUAAAUGUGUAAUUUUUCAAGUCUGUUGGCUAUUGUGAUACUAGAGUUACUUGUCAAAAUGGAUUUAGUCCGUCUGUCAUAGCCUUCAAAAAACAGAAUUGAGAGAAAUUAAUUCCUGUACAAGAGAUCGUUUAUAACAAUGGAAAAUAAGCUAUAGUUUUAAUAGGAUGUUGAGUUAAUAUUUCUUGGAAUUAAAGCUUUAGUUAUUUGCAUGUAUAUUCAGAUAACAGAUCAGGAUAUGGCAGACACAUAUCAGCCACCAUUCCGGGCUUGCAUCCAGCAGGGUAAUGCAAGCUGCUUGAUGUGUUCAUACAAUAGUGUAAAUGGAGUACCGGCAUGUGCAAAUCACGAUCUGUUACAGAAAGCUCGAACCGAAUGGGGUUUUCAAGGGUGGUAUUUUCCUUCCCAUUUUUAUAAUAAAAUAUGUGACGGAUCUGAUAUUUUGCAGAGACUUAUAAUUAUGUUCCAUCAUACAAUGCUACAGAUACAUCACGUCGGACUGUGAUGCUGUGGCUACUAUAUAUGAAAACCAGAACUACACAAAAACACCAGAGGAUGCAGUUGCCAGUGCUCUCAAAGCAGGUUUCAGAUGCUUUCUUUGGAUAUUAGUAAUAACACUCUCACAUAACUGUUAUUUAUGCUGAAUUUAUGAUUAAACUUUAUGGCAGGAACUGAUAUUAAUUGUGGAACAUAUAUGCUGAGGCACACUAAAGCUGCAAUCGAGCAAGGGAAGGUUUCAGAGAGAGACAUAGAUAGAGCAUUGCUCUAUCUGUUUUCUGUUCAACUCCAACUUGGGCUUUUUGAUGGAGCUCCUGGUAGAAAUCGAUACUGGAACUUUGGACCUCGAGAUGUAUGCUCUUCAGAGCACAAGAAUUUGGCUCUUGAAGCAGCAAGGCAGGGUAUUGUGCUUCUAAAGAAUGACAAGAAAUUCCUGCCAUUACAUAAACACAGUAUCUCUUCACUAGCCAUUAUCGGUCCUAUGUCGAAUUCAACCAAUUUGGGCGGUGGCUAUGUAGGUAUGGAUAUUUUACAUUUACAGAGUUUUAUUUAAUGAGAACUUAUAUUUAAAUACAAUUUAUGGUUUUUUUGUCAUCAUAGGCUUACCAUGUGGACAUUUUUCAUAAAUGAGUUCGGCGAGACAUGACCUCAUAUUUUUGUUAGCUUUGAGACCAUAUUGAAUCAGCUGAUUUUGAAGCUUAGGUGGGGACAAAUUUUGUUAUUUAAAUCAUUUUCAUUAUAGGUUUGACAAGUGGACAUCUUUCAUAUGUAUAUCUACAGUUUUGUUAGGUCUGAGAACAUGUUGAAUUAAUCUCAUUUAAAGCAUAAAUUGUUAGAGGGGACAAAUUUAUUUAUUUAAAAUGUCUACAACAUCCACGAACAUCUAAUUUAACUUAUGAAUGAAGGCAAAUUAAAUCCAAAAUGUGAUGUUGUCAAUGAUUUCUCGGGAAAUAUUUGAAUGAAGCUACUUUUCCAUCAAACACCGUCACCCGUGAAAAAGCUUUUAUAUUUCCAAGACCUUCGAAAGGUCAUGUCCUCGACAUAGUUUUUUUUUAUUGUAAAUCUAUUUGUACUGAGAAGAAAUAGUACACAAUUGAAAAUCAAGACUAUUGUAAGAUUCUCCUAAGUCCUAGGUAAUAUGCUUAUGCAAAUUGGCUGUUUGGAAUUUUAUCCCUUUUGUAGGAGUUCCAUGUGAACAAAAAAGCAUUCUUCAAGGAUUCCAAGAACAUGUAGAGAACACGUAUUAUGCUGCGGGAUGCAAAGAUAUACCUUGUAAUUCAAGCUCCAGUUUUGCAGAAGCUCUGUCCAUUGCUACAGAAGCCGAAUAUGUAAUUGUUGUGGCUGGACUGGAUUUAUCACAAGAAGCGGAGGACCUUGACCGGUAUAGUCUUCUCUUGCCAGGGUAUCAGACGGAACUCAUUAAUUCUGUUGCUGCCUCAAGUAAGAAACCACUGAUUUUAGUUCUUACCGGUGGUGGACCAAUUGACGUAUCCUUUGCCAAGGGAGACCUGCGUAUUGCUAGCAUUCUUUGGAUUGGUUACCCUGGAGAGACUGGUGGAAGAGCACUUUCGGAUAUUAUCUUUGGACACCAUAAUCCAGGUUCGUAAAUGCGACUUCCAGAUCCUGGAUUAGAAUCAUGAUACACUAGAUAAUGAUGCAAUUUUUGAAUGAAAACAGGCGGAAGACUACCCAUGACUUGGUAUCCUGAGUCGUUUACCAAUGUACCAAUGAGCGACAUGAACAUGCGAGCUGAUUCUUCUCAAAAUUACCCGGGAAGAACCUAUCGGUUUUACAUUGGAGAUCGACUCUACAAAUUUGGAUAUGGAUUAAGCUACGCAAGUUUUACAUACAAAAUUCUAGCAGCUCCUAGCAAACUGAGUUUACAAGGUUUUAUCAAGGCUGGACCACGAAGGACCAUGCUUUCUGAUAGAAGCAGUGCUCUUGACUAUAUUCUUGUUGAUGAGGUGGAAUAUUGCAACUCAUUGAGGUUCAACGUGCAAAUUUCUGUGACAAAUGAUGGAGACGUGGAUGGAAGCCAAGUUGCUCUGUUAUUUUCGAGAACGUCAAAAUCUUUCAAGGGUUCUCCCGAAAGACAGCUUAUUGGUUUUGAACGUGUCCACACACUAUCCUAUAAAACUGUUGAAAUGAGCUUUCUGGUAUACCCGUGUGAACAUCUUAGCAUUGCAGAUGAGCACGGAAAUAGAAUAUUGCCUUUGGGUGAUCAUAUUCUAAUAUUAGAAGACAAGGAGCAUGUUCUUUCAAUUGAAAUGUGACAAAAUCUAAAUUCAGUCCAGCACUCAAAUUGGAUUUUCAUUAGAGAGUUUCUUUGUGAAUUCAUCUUAAUCCGGGUUCUGGACAGUGCAGUUUCCUUUGAUGCAACACUUCGAUCAUAAAAAUCGGUAGCUCUACAGCAUUAAAUAUUUUCUGUCAGGUAACUUGUGCUUUUAUUCUGAUGGAUAUAGAGUUUGUGUCUCAUGUGAGUGAAAGGGUGAGAUCAUCAUAAUGUAUAAGAUGACUGUACAACACAUUCUACAAACCACAAAUUGAUUAUCUAUUCUAAUUUCACAAGAAUAUUUAACAACUUUUAUUAAUAACUCGUUUAAGUUGCG